UACAGAGGUGCCGAGCGUUAGGCGGAAUCACUGGGCUUAAAGCGUGUGUAGGUGGAUGCCUAAGUACCUUGUGAAAUCCCACGGCUUAACCGUGGAACUGCUUGGUAUACUGGGUGUCUUGAGCCAGCUAGGGGCUACCGGAACAAAUGGUGGAGCGGUGAAAUGCGUAGAUAUCAUUUGGAACGCCAAUGGUGAAAACAGGUAGCUGGGGCUGUGCUGACACUGAGACACGAAAGCCAGGGGAGCGAACGGG
RNAcentral lists this ribosomal RNA (253 nucleotides) under uncultured bacterium. RNAcentral describes it as "partial 16S ribosomal RNA". It matches the Rfam family "Bacterial small subunit ribosomal RNA", at positions 524 to 776 of the family's 1533-position model. The record is from RNAcentral.